GAUGAACGCUGGCGGCGUGCCUAAUACAUGCAAGUCGAGCGAACAGACGAGGAGCUUGCUCCUCUGACGUUAGCGGCGGACGGGUGAGUAACACGUGGAUAACCUACCUAUAAUACUGGGAUAACUUCGGGAAACCGGAGCUAAUACCGGAUAAUAUAUUGAACCGCAUGGUUCAAUAGUGAAAGACGGUUUUGCUGUCACUUAUAGAUGGAUCCGCGCCGCAUUAGCUAGUUGGUAAGGUAACGGCUUACCAAGGCAACGAUGCGUAGCCGACCUGAGAGGGUGAUCGGCCACACUGGAACUGAGACACGGUCCAGGCUCCUACGGGCGGCAGCAGUAGGGAAUCUUCCGCAAUGGGCGAAAGACUGACGGAGCAACGCCGCGUGAGUGAUGAAGGUCUUCGGAUCGUAAAACUGUGUUAUUAGGGAAGACCAAAUGUGUAAGUAACUAUGCACGUCUUGACGGUACCUAAUCAGAAAGCCACGGCUAACUACGUG
This 497-nucleotide ribosomal RNA is filed under the name uncultured bacterium. Its description in RNAcentral is "partial 16S ribosomal RNA". It matches the Rfam family "Bacterial small subunit ribosomal RNA", at positions 28 to 507 of the family's 1533-position model. The record is from RNAcentral.